GCCCUUAUUGAUGUGAAAAUUACUUGACACACAAAUUAAACCUUAUUGAUGACAAUUGUAGCAAAGAUGUAAGUAGGGAUCGUUCUAAACCAAGGAUUAACUAGGGUUGCUAAUCUACUCAAAUUAAACUCUAAAGCACUAAACUAGACUUAAAACACAAGAAUAGACUCUAAACUGACCUAAGACACUUAAAUCUGCAAAACUAGGUAAAAAAAACUCAAUUCUAAACCUAACAAGUGAUUUGGACGAAAAUAAAACUCAAUUUUGACUCAAAAGACUAAAGAAAAACAGAUUAUGACUUAACUAACCCAAAACACACUUAAAAGACUCAAAACAGCACAAUACUAACAAUUAGACUCAAAACAGACUCUAGGGAAUAAAUUGGACGAAUUUUAAGACUAAAUUUAGACUCAAACAACGUUUAUGGACUAACUCUAACCUAUAUUAACUCAAAACACUCUAAAGAACUUAAUUAGGACAGAUUCUAACCUAAAAACACAAAAUAGAAAAGGGGGUUUGGUUUUUUAUGAAAUAGAAUUACAACUAAACAAAUUGCAAAACAAAGUAAACUAAAACGAAAUUGAGAUGAAUUCAAGGGUGAAAGGCUAGUUAGAGGAUCCUUCUCCACACAUGAACAUAUGCAACAUAAAUCGAUUUUCAGUAUUGUUUCUUUAAACCAUGAAUGACAAUGCCCCAAAUUAAUUCUGAAUGCACAAAUUAACUCUCAGAUUUCCCUAGAUUCAUUGAAUUGGAUGAAUACAUGCGACAACCCAAAUUAUUCUUCUCAAGUUCCCUAUAUGAACAACAUGAUAGAGAGACAUUCAAAGAUCAUUAAGUUCCAUGGAAAUCAUAAGCAUUGACAAGGCAAUUAUAACUAUGAACUGCAUUAUACUCUUGCCAAGAAUCUACUUAACAUGAUUGUGACUAACAAUCUCCACUACUUGUAAUUAUGAGUUCCUAACGAUUAGGUGAAAGUCCCAUAUAAUUUAGCAUCAGAUUCAUGCAUGCAAACUAAGUAGGCCUCCUUAAUCAACACACAAGAAUAAGUUAUCAAUCAAAUAGAUAAGUAAAUCGCAUUCAUGUUUUAUGAAACAAUAACUGAAAGGAAUCAAUUCAUAUUAAACAUAUGUCCAUGGCUUCGAAUUCACCACUAACUAAUAUGAAUUUAGUUACACAUGUUCCUAGCAAUUAAAAAGCAAAUUGAAAUAAACAUUGAAACUGAAACGAGGGAAGAAAGAACUCUUAGAACUCCCAAAGAUGCAGAUGGCUUGUGCAAAAGGUCCUCCUUCAUCAAUGGAAUGCACGGCAAUGAUCUCCUUCUUCUCCAAAAGGUGCGGCAGAGAUAUAUGUUGAUGUAGGAUGAUGUAGAAUGGUGUAGAAUGAUGUAUAUGGUGUGGCAAAGUGUAUUUCUGAAUGGUAUGAAGGGUGGUGACGAAUUCGUGCUGAAAACAUGUAUAUAAAGGCUUGGCAAAACCGUAGGGUGAAUCAGAUUAGGGUUAGAAAUCAGCACACUAAGAGAAUUAGGGCCCUAGGGUUCGGCACAAUUAAUGAAAUCCACUAAGGAAAGGGUUUGACCUAAUUAAUUUCAGAAAAGGAUUUGUAUAACCCAAAUCCACAAGGAAUAAGGCUAAUAUAAUCAGAAUCCAAGGGGAAUUGGGUGAAGAAUGGUGUGGCACAUAUUGGAGGGAGUGGGAAUUGCUUCCAAGGCAAGGCAAAAGCCUUCUAGAAAGGAAAUAGGCACCACUUUUGUAGGGAUUCUAGAAACAAUGUGUUUUGUGGCUGAUUUGGGACUUCUAGAAGGGAAUGCUUCUAGAAAUAGGUUCUAGAAAUAUAUAUUUAGGUCCCUUUCUAGCUAGGAUUAAGGCAUGAUAAGAUUAGGAUAGGAUAAGAUAAUAUGAGGUUAGUGUGGAUAAGAUAAGGUUAGAUAAGGUUGUGGAUAAUGUUUCCUCUUUUGAGCUGAUUCCUUAUCUUUUUUGUCUUGAAUUUAAUUUCUUCAUAUCCUUAUUAGAUUCCUAGCCUUUUGAACUCCAAAUUCAUCCAUCCAUCUUGGUCCAUACAUGUGCUAUCCAUUUAGUGCCCAAAACUGCUCCAAAAUGCACUUUCUUGCCAACUUUGUCAUUUGGACCUACAAACACACAAAAAUAGCUUAAAACACUAUAAUAAUCGCAAACUAACUAUAAAAGUGCAAGAAAACAAGCUAACUAAGUGGCAUAAAUAUGCUCCUAUCAAAUUCCCCCACACUUAGCUUUUGCUAGUCCUUGAGCAAAACAAAGGAAACAAAACAAACAAAACAUAACCUAACCUUCCAACAUUCGCCUCAGGGAUUUCCAAUGGAACAUGACACAUUAAAAAUCACUACUCACAUAGAUUUUAGUUAUCCUUACCAUCGAGCACAUACAUAAUCACAGUCAUCACUCACUAGCUCGCAUUUAAUCAAUUAAAACAAUGUUUCUGAAUGUAGUAACAUGCCUUAGAGAAUUCCCUCAAUUCCUCACUGAAUAUACACUCUAUUUUCACACAGAUUUUCUGACUACACUCCCUAUACAAGGUAUAUGUGAGAAGAUUGAUGUAAACAUGAAAACUAACACUCACAUAUGUUAUCAUCAAAGAAAGCAAUUUCUGGAGUUAUUAACAUAAACACGUAUAUGAUCUCAUGAAUGGAAUGCCAUUACUUAGACGCGAGAACUAGGGAUACCAUAUGCUCAUACCAAUCCCAAACUCCACAGAUUGAAACACACAACAACCAAGAUUGAAGUCUAAGGGUUGUAACGGGGCUAAUGGUAUUGGCUAACAAAGAAAGGUUAAGGAUAAACAAAGGUUCUUGAAGCAAUCGUAAGCAAAGUAAUGAAAUCAACUUAGAAUUCACUCUUGAAUGCAGCAAAUAACUUGAAACACUAAAGGGAUUUCGUACAACUUAGGGUCAUAUUCAAACUUUUUGGACCCUUUCUUCAACAACCAAUACUUGUGAGCUCAUUCUCACUUAUUUUCAACUCUUUUUUUUUCUUUAUACCCGUGUACAUAUCCUUCCCCCACAUUUGAUUUCUGCAAUAUGUUUGAUCAAAACGAAUUCAAUCUAAGUCAUGCUCCACUAUACUUUAAGAACAAGGGUAUGGAUAGUCCUAUUCUAGGCUAGGUUGGGAUAAUGUGGCUAACAAAGAAAAUAGGCUAAAUAAGGCUCAAAAAGGGGUUAAACCUACAAAACAAAUGCAUAGGAUGAAGGCUUUUUAGCUUUGGUGGUAACUACUAAACAACUUCAUCUUGUUAUAUGUUAUGCACUCAAUUUUAAGUUUUGAAUGAAACGGGCAUGAGUUAUAGUAUUUGGAACUAAAGUGAUAAAAUGCAUUCCAAGUAGCAACCAAGCAAAGAAUAAUGAGAUCAUGCAACGACUUUAGAAAACAAGAAAUCACAAAUUAAUAACUCUUUAAAUAGAGUUGGGGCUCAAGUCUCUCAGGGUUGUACCGUUAGUUUGAGUUCCUUCCUUCAAGCACGUUACAAAAACUGAUUUUUUCCUUUUUGAUUACAUGUGAAGUCGUAAACGUUAACUACAACCAAGCAUAAACCAAAGAGUAUAUCAAACUUCCAUCCAUGUUUGUAACUUUCUUUAACAGUCAUGCAAUUAAAAAUCAAAUCCUCAUCAUUGUGUUGGAAGGUACCCUAAGACACAAACACACAAAAACAACUUUUUUUGGGUUUUUCAAAACUUUUUCUACUUUUAUUUUUUUUUCAAAUUUUCGUAUUUUCUGUCAAAGACACACUAAAACACUCCAAAACACUUAAAAACAAUGAAAAACAACUUUAGUUAUGCUAGGUGGUAAAAUCCUUCAAAUUUGCAAUAAAAACACUUGUUUACUCUCCCACACUUAAACCAAACAUUGUCCUCAAUGUUUUAAACAUAGACUCACACAUAAACAAGCAAACAACAUAACUAACAAACACGACUAUCAUGGCAAAGUAAAACCAAGAAAGAUUAGAGUUUAGGAACGCAAAUCUGGUUAUGGAGCUUAAAUUCCUUCAAUCCCUCGUUUGAACGCAUGGGUUGCCUCCCAAAAAGCGCUUGCUUUAACGUCUUCCAGCCGGACGAUACCUCCAUUUAAGCUUGAAUAGGGCCCACGGCAUGGAGGGGUAUGUCCUCCACGGCAUGCUCCUUAAAUGUCUCAUAGUAGGGCUUCAAACGAUGUCCAUUGACCUUGAAUUCAUGUCCCGUCUUUAAACUUUGAAUUUGGACAGCACCAUGAGGAAAAACAUUAGUAAUAACAAAAGGUCCAAUCCAUUUAGAACGUAACUUACCCGGAAACAACCAAAGACGGGAAUUGAAGAGUAACACUUUCUGCCCUAUGGAGAAUGUCCUGCCACAAAUCAUCUUGUCAUGGCUGGCCUUUGUUUUCUCCUUGUAAAUGAGAGCGUUCUCAUAAGCUUCAUUCUUAAUCUCCUCAAGCUCAUUCAAUUGCAAUUUUCUAUGGAUCUCAGCAGCAUCUAUGUCCAUAUUGAAUGUUUUGACGGCCCAAUGUGCACGAUGCUCUAACUUAACCGGAAGAUGACAUGGUUUCCCAUAGAUGAGCCGAAAUGGGAACAUCCCAAUUGGUGUUUUGUAGGCCAUUCUAUAUGCCCACAAUGCAUCAUUCAAACGCAAGCUCCAAUCUUUUCGAGUUGGUCCAACCGUCUUCUCCAAAAUCUGCUUAAUUUCCUUAUUCGAAACCUCGGCUUGCCCACUUGUUUGGGGAUGAUAAGGUGUUGAAACCUUAUGCGUGACAUUAUACUUCUUGAGCAGCACCUCAAUGGUUCGAUUACAAAAAUGGGACCCUCCAUCACUAAUUAGUACUCUUGGCCUUCCAAACCUUGCAAAUAUGUUAGUUUUAAUAAAAUCUGCAACCACUUUAGAAUCAUUAGUAAGGGUGGCCUUUACUUCUACCCAUUUUGACGCAUAAUCCACAACAAGUAAUAUAUAAAGAAAACCAUGUGAGGACGGAAAAGGACCAAUGAAAUCUAUACCCCAAACAUAAAAAAUCUCAACAGAAUGUAUAGGGUGUUGCGGCAUUUGGUCUCUUGAUGUUAUAUUACCCAUUCUUUGACAAUGAUCACAGGUUAUACAAAAGGUUCUAGCAUCUCUAGAAAUAGUAGGCCAAUAAAAUCCACAUUCUAAAACCUUAUGUGCUGAACGUUAUGUGCCAAAAUGACCCCCGCAUGCAUAAGUGUGACAAAAAGUUAAAAUCGAAUGAAACUCGGAAUCAUGCACACACCUACGUAGAAUAUGAUCAGGGCAAUGUUUCCACAAAAAAAAGGUCAUCCCAAACAUACAACCAUGCAUCUUUCUUGAGUUUAUCACAUUGGUGCUUAUUUAGGGUGCUUGGUACAUGCUUAGUGACCAAAUAAUUAACUAGACCGGCAUACCAUGGCUCACUUACCUUAAUAGACAGCAGCUGCUCAUCUGGGAAUGUCUCUGGGAUGGGCAUGGCAUUGGGAUCUUCUUCAUGCACCAUUCGGCUCAAAUGGUCAGCCACCACAUUUUCACUUCCUUUGUUGUCCCAGAUUUCCACGUCAAACUCUUGGAGAAGUAACAUCCAACGAAUAAGCCUUGGCUUGGCCUCCUUCUUUGUGAGCAAGUACUUCAUAGUUGCAUGAUCAGUGUAAAUAAUAACUUUAGUUCCAAGAAGAUAUGAACGAAACUUAUCUAAAGCAAAUACAACAGUAAGAAGUUCUUUUUCAAUGGUGGAAUAAUUCAAUUGUGCAUCAUUCAAGGUCCGGGAUGCAUAGUAGAUGACGUGUGGCUUUUUGUCCCUCAUUUGUCCUAAAACAACCCCUAAUGCAUAAUCUGAGGCAUCGCAUAUAAGCUCAAAGGGAAGGCUCCAAUCUGGUGGGACUAUGAUGGGGGCUGAAGUUAGCUUUUCUUUGAGGUGAUUGAACGCCUUCUCACACUCAUCAUCGAACUUGAAUGUGACAUCCUUUUGAAGAAGUCAGCAAAGGGGUUGGGAAAUCUUGGAAAAUCUUUGAUGAACCGCCUAUAGAAUCCUGCAUGUCCAAGAAAAGAACGAACUUCUCUCACUGAAUUGGGAGAGGGUAAGUAGCGUACAAGAUCUUUUUUUUAUUUAUCAACCUCUAUUCCCUUUGCAGAAACUAUGUGACCUAAAACUAUGCCUUGUUUAACCAUAAAGUGACAUUUUUCCCAAUUCAAAACAAGGUUAGUUUCAAUGCACCGGUUUAAGAUUAAAGUGAGAUUAUCUAAACAACCAUGAAACGAAUCGCCAAAGACACUAAAAUCAUCCACGAAAACCUCAAUGAUCUUUUCCACAAAAUCUGAGAAUAUACUUACCAUGCAUCGUUGGAAUAUGGCUGGUGCAUUACCAACCCGAACGACAUUCGACGAUAAGCAAAAGUGCCAAAUGGACAAGUAAAAGUAGUCUUUUCUUGAUCAUCUAAAGCUAUAACAAUUUGAUUAUAUCCCGAAUAACCAUCUAGAAAGAAAUAAAAAGAAUGACCGGUGUGGAGCCAAAAAUAUUCACAAGGCGACACGUGGAUUUUUGGACAAAAAGGACAAAAAUACCCUUGCAGUACAACGAGGUUCCUACACGCAAGCAGCGGGCAACCCUCUUUCAACCAAGACAGAAGUGCCCAAAAUAGGUAACAAUUCAAAGUCCAUCUCAUCAAAUCCUUUCUACAAGGUAAUUCUCAAACACAUUCCUUUUAAAUUAUGUUAAUUGGCUAAUUAAUGGGUUUAUUGCCUAAUUAACCCAUUAAUUGUCAAUUAAACCAUCCAUUAUAUCCAAAUAACCACAAAAUACAUCCAAUUCAACCCUAAAACACCACAUGGCCGGCUAUCCCCAUUCAAAACCUAAUCCAUCACUUUUUCUACCUUUUUUCACCAUUUCUUCCUUUUUAUUAGCCAAUUAAUUCCAUAACCAAAAAAUAUUUCCUUUUAUGUUUAAUUAGCCAAUUAAUUGGCUAAUUAAACCAAAAUAAAACCUAAACCAACCUAGCCCUAUAAAUAGGCUCAUAUUUUCACCAAAUAUUCAUUCCAACACUUUGGCAAAAAUCCCAAAAUUCUCUAAACACUAUUUCUCUCUAAAUUCUAACUUUGGCAUUGGAGGUCCUUCGGCCAAAGCCCCCCCCCCCAUUCAUCGUGGGCGCGUGAGGCUCUUGGCCUUAACCUAAGGUGUUAAUUGUUUUGUAGGUGCAAAAUUGUCCAAGAUCAAGGAGGAAGAAAUUUGCAUCCACAAAUUGGUGCUUUCAUUGAGAGUUGAAAUCCAUACUCGUAGAAGACUCUCGCACAAAAAGGUUUUUCUUUAUUUUCUAGUCCAUUUGAAUAUUUUUCAUACGUUUUUAUUAUUACAAUUUUUUACUUGCAAAGGUUCUUUGAUAAAACGUAUAAGGAAAAUAUAAUGGCUAGAAAUUUAGAAAUUCCACAAGUGAAAAUUCUAAUAUUCAAGAAAUGGGAUUGCGGAGAUCCGUGAGGCUAAAUGCGACAAUAAGUGGAGCACCACCACCACCACGAGUUUCCACCAUGGGAACCACCACGGUGGCUACCGAGGUAGCCACCUGUGGCGAGGUCCAUGGUGCCUUCACCACGGCUCGAGCCGUGCCAUCCAAGGCCACGGCCCAAGUCGUGCCAUCCAAGUUUGCACGGGCCCAAGCCCAAGCCUCGCAUUCGCUUGCAUCACAUUCUAAGCAGGCUGCUCCCGCCAAGCAACCUGCUCUCGUAACCUAGCCUGUUCCUGACAACCAACCCGCUCCCGUGGCCCAGCCUGCUCCUGCCAAGCAACUUGCUCUCGCGGCCCAGCCUGUUCUCGUGACCAGCCUGCUCUCGACAAGUAGCCCACUCCCGUGGUCCAGCCUGCUUCCGUCGAGCAACCCACUCUCGUGGCCCAACCUGCUCCUCCUAAACAGCCUGCUCUCGUGACCCAGCCUACUUCCGACGAGCAGCCCACUCCCAUUGUCCAGCCAACUCCAGUCGAGCAGCCCACUUCCGUGGCCCAGCCAGUUCCAGUUGAGCAGCCCACUUUCACGGCCCAGCCUACUCUCGUGGCUUUCCAAGCAGCCCAAAUCGGCCCAAGACUAUCUCAACCAUCUGGACCUAGCAUCGAGCCGGGGGCAUUCUCACCAUAUUGUUUCGCGGAUUUGACAUUUCUAACUCAUAUCUCGCGCCCGGAGUCUACCACUCUUCCACUGCCCAAUGACGCGCAUUCCUUCCAAGCUUUUCCAAUCUAAAUGGCGAACAACACUUGUCUCGACAAGUCAUAGAGUUGACGAGCGCCCUUGCACAACAGACAACCUUGGUGAAUCAACUUUUGCAACGCAUCGGGAUCCAACGUGCCUCGGACAAGGUAUCCCGAAGUAGGACAAGGGCAGACAGACCUUUCCAGCAGCGUCCCGGCAAGCAGCCACUCGACCAGCCACGAGUCGAACGUUUGGGCAGUGUACGUUCCCGUCUUAGCGUGCGGAGAAGCAUGCACUCUCGACUAGGGCCACAGAUGAGCAUACAUUCACGGUUGGGGUCAUAUUCUGAUAGUUAACAUGAGCAACCUUCUGGGCAAAGUGUCCAUUCGCGGCUAAGCCCACAAGGAGCAUCAUCCACCUCACAUCAGAGUAGGCAGCACGACGGAAUGAGAGAAGCAGUCACUCAAUCCCGCUCAAGUUCAACCAGCAACCUGCGAAGAACUCGCUCGCCUGCUAGGAACUCACCACAUGCACUGCAUCCGCGACAUAGAUGAGCCAAACACAUGGAAGAGCAGCCUAGACCAGCAAGUCAUGGCUGGGGGCAGCCGAGAGCUCCGUUACCCCAACAAAGGUAAAUUCAGGAAGAAGUAGAGAGACUAUUAACCAAGCGAUUGCAUGAUUUCCAACGCAACGAGGUCACCGACGAGGCACUACGACGGAACAUGACCAAUAUAAGCAGGUCACCCUUCACGGACGAGAUCGAGCAGGUAGAGCCUCCACGCGAGUUCAACAUGCCACAUUUCACAUCUUUCAAAGGGGAUGAAGACCCGGAGAGAACUUAAAGCGCUACUGAACCACAAUGAUCCUUUAUCGAAACAACGAUGAUCUCAUGUGCAAGAUAUUCGCCACCACUCUACAAGGCGAGGCGCAAGAUUGGUUCUACACCCUGCCGCCACAAUCUAUCCAGAAUUUUUACGAACUUUCUUUGGUUUUCACCAAAGAAUAUUCAUCUUAUCGCUCGAUCAAAAAGAAGUCUGACCAUUUGUUCGACGUCAAGAAGAACCUAAAAGAGUCGCUUCGCGACUAUGUGAGGAGGUUCAAAGUAGAGAAGGCAAAAAUAGUCGGAUGCAACGACUCGAUAGCUAGAGCAGCCUUCCAAAAAGGACUUCCAGCAGACCACCCGCUAUUCGGAAAAUUGAUCAUGAAAGAAGAUCUAACUCUGGCAGACUCUUUUGCUUUGGCAGAGAAGCAUGCACUUUGGGAUGAGGCUCGCCAAUGCACAUUCAAGGACUUGAAGAAGUACCCGACAUCACCUCCCUAGAAGCAGCGGAGGACUUAUUCGCAUGUUUGACGAUAUCUAAAGUAGCAAUAAGCUCUACCAUCAUGCGAGAAGAGAUGGGGGCCCGACUACCUGGAUUCUACAGUUCAUAAGCUCUCCUCGAUGUUAUUAAAAAUUUAAAAGCUAACUGUGGUGAUAAUUGUUGUAACCCAAAAGCUUAAGUUUUACCUUCAAACGCAAGCAGUCAUCAUCAUGACGCACUAUUCCGCCGAAUCCAAACCGGGGACGAUAAAGGCAUAGACUCUGGCAAAUGCAAAGUUUUCUGACGAACGCAACAACUUAGCCCAACGAUGCCCCGAAGGCAGCCGAGCACACUUUAGCCACACCUGCUCCCUCAAUGGAGAUUUCUGGCGUUUGCAUGUCGACGGCGCAUCCAACUAUGAAGGCUCGUGAGCAGCCGUGGUUCUUGCCACCCCAAACGUUUCAAUGCUCAAGCAUGCGAUCACUCUAAGCUUCCAAGCAUCUAACAACGAAGCAAAGUACGAAGCCCCACUAGCAGGCCUUCGAAUGACAAAAUACUUGGUGGUGAAAAAGCUUUCCAUUCAUUCCGAGUCCUAGCUAAUCACCAGCUAGACUACCAGGGGCAAAUGCAUGAUGAUCAUGGCAACCGACUACUUUACCAAAUAAGUAGAAGCAGAGCCCAUGACGAUCAUGGUUCAAACGGACAUAGAGCGCUUCAUAUGAAGAAGUAUCAUUUGUCGAUUUGGCAUUCCUUAAUCCAUUGUCACCGACAACGGCCCGGAAUUCGUGGGCAAAGAUUUGGCGAAGUUCUUCAAAAAAUAUGGCAUCAAGCAGCACAUGUCUACGCCAAGAUAUCCUCAAGGCAAUAGGCGGGCUAAAGCAUCCACUAAGAUAAUCCUCGAUUGCAGCAAGAAAUCCCCUACCAAUAAGAAAAGAAAAGGAUGUCUAUGGGCAUAUCACACAACCAAAAGACGAGCAACCGAAAGGAGAUGGCCACAAGCUUAAAUCUAGUAGAAAAGAGGCGCGAACAGACUAUCACUCGCAUUGCAGCCUACCAGCAUCAACUUCUCUCAAGCUACAACAAAAGGGCCAAGAUCCAGCAGUUUCAGCCCGGAGAUCUGGUCAUAAGAAAAACCUUCAUCACUGCCAGCAGAAAAGGCUCUAAAAAUAUGGAUCCUAUCUGGGAAAGUCCGUACAAGAUCAGUAAAGUAUGUGGUAAGAACAAUUACACCCUCGCCACCAUAAAAUGACAAAAAGAUCGAAAAAUAGUGGAACGCUUACAAUAUGAGGAAGUACCAUGUGUGACCUCUCGCUACAUCAAAGCCUGAAGACUCAAGCAGCUCGACGGGCACUACCUCACCAGCCGAGAAUUAUCCAGUUGUUAUGCAGUUCUUACCUUACAUCUAAGUUCUCGUUCGUUUAACUUGUUUUUUAAAGAGGAAUUCAGAAGUAAUCACGACUUGGCUUGGCUGCAUGCUUACAACAACUGAUCACUCCUGUACUUCAAAAGAAGACCGUGCCCUUCUUAGGGACUUACCGCAGGAAUUGCGCCCCCCGAGGGACCAACCAUGCUCUCCAGUGCGAGAGGGUAAACUAAUUGCUCUCCAACGCGAGAGGGUAAACCAAUUCCCCGACACCCACAUGGGUCAGCUCUCCAAGAACGGGAGGAUAAACUCUACACUCUGAAUAUCCAGACGUGGAUGAGCCGGGCUGCCCUAGUAUAACUAGAUGCACGAUGGCUUGCGUCGAGAUUCCUAGAAGUAGCCGCAAUGGUCUUUUUCAAGGCUUAGCUAACUGAAGGAUUUUGGGUCUCUUGGCCUAAUCCGUGGGGAACCGGGCCCUAGAGACGGAGAGGGCACAUUACGCAGUACAUCCGAUGGACGGCUGCCCUGGAAUCCCAAAGCUGCUACGGAGUGGACUAAGGUAGUCUACGGAUUCCGAAAGACUGCCUACGGCUUGCCCUUCGAGCAGUAAAGCCGCACUAGAUUUAUACAACCACACAUUCUUGUGAAAGGAUAAACAAGCUAGCACGCAUAUACGAAGUUUUAUCCACUGCCGACAUGCUACGUAGUCGAUAAGCUUCACCUCUGCCAAGCGCAGAACAACCUAUACCAAGUCCUAAAGUGUUGUGAUACUUGCUACGCAACCUACGGAAUUGGAGAAAGUCAAGGUUAAUAGCCUAGUGGUUACGCGGACUUAUCUGCUUCUGUAAGUAAGGCAUCCGGCUGCCAACCCAAUGGCUAACAACUUUGCAAAGUUCUACACCAACACCUACGGCUACAUAGGCUACGCGAGCUUGCCUGUUUAUAAAAGUAGCAUGCUUGCCACUGGUCUAUCAAGUCUAAAGGUUAGGGCAUGAACAAAAGAAGCAAAAAUGAAGAAAAGCUAAGGAAAACAUGUUUAUAAACGACUAGCAAAGGCCGAAGGAGUUCAAGCAAAACAAGAGCUACAAGGAAAAACAAAGAAAAUCUUAAAGGUUACCUAGAUGACUACAUUUUACCAGCCUGGACAUCCCACGACUAUUCGGUCACCACACCUUCAGCAGUCGCGAAGCUCUUAGUAACGGCAUCACCCCUGACUGUUCUAGCCUGGGCACCAACUUCUCCAACUACUUCACCAAUACCAACAUGGACGCGCUGCAGCUCAUCCACUUCUUUCUUCAAACUUUCGUUCAUCUUCAGUACACCUUGAAGUUCCAACACUUGGGGUUCAAGCCUAUCAACGAUUCUCUUGAAGUGGAUCACUUGAUUAUAAGCAACAAUCAACUUUUCAUCCUUUGCAUAAGCAGCGAAAGAAGUCUUUUGGUUUUUUCUCAGCCGGCAUCUCUUGAGCAGGCAGGGAAGAUCCAUUUUCCCACCUUCACUUGCAGCAGGAUCCACAAUGGUGAUUGGACGAGCCAAUGCAUCCGCCUUGAUCCUAUUCACCUCUUAUUUUGGGAGCAUCCCACGUUUCUCCUGACGAAGAGAGUUAAAGUAGCCAAUGCCAUUCGUACUACCCAGCAGGGGAGUUCAACCCAACAUUCCAGCAGCUCAUGAGGCCCGCAACCUCUUCAUUUCUCUCAGUCACCUGCCUAGCUCGCGUCAUGUCCAAAAGCCCAAAAAGACAUGAGCCAUGUGACUCGCCUAGCACUGCGCCAUAGCGCCACAAUCCGUGGCCCUAGCCAUACAAGCUGCUAUUGGUUCUAGCCAAGUCGAGCAGCUUAAAGCAAUUAUCUCUGCCACAAUACCUCAUCGGCCCAUGCCGAGCCGACUUCUAGCCCAUGCCAGCCGACAUGCCGCACCACCCCGACGGCUGCCCCGAGGUAGCACCAUCCAUGAAGAAGACAAGGAAAAUUAAUUUUUUCUUACCUCAGUGCGGCACAAAGAAGACGAAGAAAGCAACGAAAGACGGUCCUUUGCACGGGCAAGAUGUAGAAGAUUGCUAGAGCAGGGGGAACAAAUAUCCUCUAAGCUAUCUCUCUCUUGUAGGGUAGAAUAAAUCGCUCUCCAAAGUUGAUUUAAUAACCCACUUAAGGUGGACUUAAAUAGGCUUUGAGAGAAAUUUAUUUCCCUUUCCUAGAAGGAUCUAAUUUCCUAUUAAAGAGAGAAUCUACAUCAAAAUAGGAAGCAGUCAUAAGUUUCCUAAAACAAGAAGAUCUCUACACCUGCUGCCCUUUUCUGCGAGCAGCUCAACAGGUGUGGGGGCUUUUGUGGAGCCAAAAAUAUUCACAAGGCGACACGUGGAUUUUUGGACAAAAAGGACAAAAAUACCCUUGCAGUACAACGAGGUUCCUACACGCAAACAGCGGGCAACCCUCUUUCAACCAAGACAGAAGUGCCCAAAAUAGGUAACAAUUCAAAGUCCAUCUCAUCAAAUCCUUUCUACAAGGUAAUUCCCAAACACAUUCCUUUUAAAUUAUGUUAAUUGGCUAAUUAAUGGGUUUAUUGCCUAAUUAACCCAUUAAUUGUCAAUUAAACCAUCCAUUAUAUCCAAAUAACCACAAAAUACAUCCAAUUCAACCCUAAAACACCACAUGGCCGGCUAUCCCCAUUCAAAACCUAAUCCAUCACUUUUUCUACCUUUUUUCACCAUUUCUUCCUUUUUAUUAGCCAAUUAAUUCCAUAACCAAAAAAUAUUUCCUUUUAUGUUUAAUUAGCCAAUUAAUUGGCUAAUUAAACCAAAAUAAAACCUAAACCAACCUAGCCCUAUAAAUAGGCUCAUAUUUUCACCAAAUAUUCAUUCCAACACUUUGGCAAAAAUCCCAAAAUUCUCUAAACACUCUUUCUCUCUAAAUUCUAACUUUGGCAUCGGAGGUUCUUCGGCCAAAGCCCCCCCCCCCAUUCAUCGUGGGCGCGUGAGGCUCUUGGCCUUAACCUAAGGUGUUAAUUGUUUUGUAGGUGCAAAAUUGUCCAAGAUCAUGGAGGAAGAAAUUUGCAUCCACAACCGGCUAACCUUUCAAGCAUUUGAUCAAUGAACAGCAAGGGGAAGUGGUUAUUUCUCGUGGUGGCGUUUAGCUUCCUAUAGUCAAUGCAAACUCUCCAACCGGUUUGGAUACGAGUGGGCACAAGUGUUGGAAGUAUGCCCACAAAGCCACUCAUUUGAUGUAAUAGCUUUUGGAAUACUUAUUGUAUUAAACUUUUAUAUGUUUAAUGAAGGACAAAGCUUAUUGUUAAUCACUAUUUAUUGUAUCAUGUGUUUAAGCAAUAAGAGAAUCCAAGGAAUGUAUUUGAUCUAAGAGACAAGUGAUUUAAGUAAGUUAGAUUAACGAGACCUUUCUCUUAUGUUCAUUCCUAAAACGUUCCUAGCCAUAGGAUUGCCAAUUGGGCAUUGACAAUCCGCUAAGGUUAGUAUGUGUUAUGUCGACUUAAGUGUGAGUAUGACUAGUCUCAAGUCAAUUAGUGUUGGACACUAAGACAAACACAUAGGUGCUCGAAAGAGUAAUCGAGUACACUGAACAACGAUCAAAAGAGAGUUCGAACAUACAUGUCAUGUAAGAACUCGAUAGUUGCAAUAUGCAAAGUAGUCCUUUGACCUGAGGCAUCAUAGAUGUCUAAUGGUUAGGUCCUUGAUCUUUGAUCAUUUCAAAGGAAUUCCAUUGGAGUGUCCACGGCAUUGUUGAGGUCAAGCUAUCUAGUCAUGUAGGCAUAUGAAUGCACAACAAGGGAUCUCUAACCUUCCAUGGUGGAAGGAGAAUACUCUAAGAUAUGAUUCGAGAGUCUUUGGCCAAAGCAUAUGAAUAUGACUUAGGAAGUUUGUUCCAAAUCAUAUUCAAUUGAAUCAUAUAGAGAAGUAUCACAUUGGAUAGUAGACAUGAAACAAACUAUCACUCAAACAAUGUGAUUAAGAGUAUUGUAUUAGAGAAGGACCGUAUUGCAUUGUAGUUGUAACUGGAUAGGUUCUCCAACCACUUCUACUUAGCUUGGGUAACCAUGACAUACUGCUAGGUGUCACUCAUGGUUUGUGGAAGCCCUGAAGAUUAGCAAACACUAAUCAAAGGGAGAAUUGAAAUAGUUUCAAUUCACAAUCGAUCGUUAAGAGUAACAAUCGCCCACUACCUCGCUAAAUGGAACCUAAUGGAUCAUACACCGAGUAAGGAUGAAAGUGAAGAAAUUAAAUGAAAUGGAUAUGCAAUUAAAUGGUUUAAUUGAAAAAUGGUCAAGGUUAAUUAAUUAGUUAAUUAAUUAUACGAAAUGUUCGUAUUGGGCUUUUAAGUUGGUUUUGGGCUUCGGGGCCCAAAAGUGUUUUGGUCCACAAGGCCCAUUAUGUUUAAGUUGUAUGACAACUAAAACAAAAUGGGCAAUUAGCGCAAUAACAACGGUAAGGCCGGCCAUAAGGGUGAUGGUUGCAAACUUGGAUUAAUUACAAGUUUGCCACUCACUUGAAAUGAAGUAUAAAAUCAACUUUAUAGCUUUAUUUCUCAUUAGGGUUUUUCUUGAUGAAAAGAGGUGAAACCUAUUCUCUCUUUUUCUCUAAAGAGACCGGCCACUUAGAGGGGAUUUAGCUAGCAAUCUUUUCUUCUCUAAGUCAUCCAUUUCAUCUUCACACUUCAUCCUUGGUGUGGAGACUUAGAGACAUCAAACUUUUGGUGUUUUGGAGAUCCUUUCCUCAAAUCCUCAAAGGAGCAAAGAAGCAUUAAGAGGGAGAAAAUCACAAAGAAGAUCCAAGGAGCAAGGAGGUGACUUGAAGGCCCUCCACUUGGGUGAAUCCCUUGUGUAAUCAAGGAUGAGCUUCAAGGGUAAAGAAACUCUAAAUCUUUCCUUCUCUUUAAUGUUGUUAAAGAGUUUAUUGGUUCACCAUGUAAUAGGCUUUGAAAGUCAUGGGUUUUAUGAAUUGUUUUUUAAUGUAUGCCUACUUUAAUGUGUUAAUAGUUUGCAUAUGUAUUCAAAUAUUCUCACAUGUUCUUAGCCAGGACAAAAGUUUUCCUUCAACAAGCUCAUUCUCUGCAUUCUUCACCACGGUGACUCCUGAUUUCUAUGGUACAACUUGAAUAUGUGAAACCCAACAACUAUCUGAGAUAGGGUAAAUGACUCCACAAUCAAGAAGCUUGAUAAUUUCCUUUUUCACAACUUCCAUCAUUAGAGGGUUAAGUCGACGUUGAGCCUCUCGAGUUGGUUUAGCCCCCUCCUCUAGAAGUAUGCGAUGCAUGCACAUUGGAAGGCUAAUUCCCUUAAUGUCGGCCAAUGUCCAUCCAAUUGCUGUUUUAUGCUUUUUCAACACCUGAAUCAACUUCUCCUCCUCCAAUGCCAUGAGUGAUGAGGAAACAAUGACGGGCAAUGUUUCAUCAUCUCCCAAAAAUACAUACUUUAAAUGGUCUGUCAUCAGUUUAAGCUCAAGGACGGAUGCCUGAAUCACGGAAGGUAACAACUUGUUAAUAGAAAUGGGAAUUAGAAUUGGGUUAGGAGGCUUACCGAGAUGUUGUGGCAAUGACUCAAGGGCAGCAACCAUCUCCCCUAUUUCUGCAAUAGGGGGCAUGGCAAGAGUGGAUUUAAGCCUCAUUCUUUGUGUAAUUGUUGUUUCAAGGGCAUCUUCAUUCAAGGAAUCAAGGUAGUCCUGCGCCAAAUCAUCAAAUACAUCAAUAGAGAAACAAGAAUGAUCAUCCUUAGGAUAUUUUAUAGAUUUAGAAAUAUUGAAAUUAAUAACAUCCCCAUCAAAUUCCAUUGUUAGUGUCCUUUUAAACACAUCUAUCUUGGUGCGGGCUGUUUUUAUGAAGGGUCUUCCAAGGAGGAUCGGUAAGGAUGUAGAAUGGGCCAAAUCUUCCAUCUCAAGAACAUAGAAGUCCGCUGGAAAUACUAAGUCAUUAACUUGCACCAAAACAUCUUUCAAAACACUUUUUGGGUAUGCAUUAGAACGAUCGGCUAAUUGAAUGAUAACACCAUCAUUUUUAAGCUCUUCUAGGUUCAUAGAUACAUAAAUAAAGUAUGGCAUGACGUUAAUGGAUGCACCUAAAUCUAACAUAGCAUGCUCAAACUUGGUAUUGCCAAUAACACAUGGAAUUGUAAAACUACUUAGAUCUUUGCAUUUUGGUGGUAGUUUUCUUUGCAAAACAGCUGAAACAUUCUCACUUACCUUUACAACUUAUUUGUUUGAAAUCCAUUUUCGUGUGGUAUAAAGUUCCUUCAAAAACUUCGCAUACCUUGGAACUUGUUUAAUUGCAUCAAGGAGUGGGAUAUUCACUAACACUUUCCUAAAUGUCUUAAGAAUGUCCUUCUCAUUCUCCUCCUUCUUUGAUUGCAUGAAUCUGCGUGGGAAAGGUGCAUUGGGUGGAAUAGGGUUAGAAUGGUUCAAAAUUACAUCACCCUUACCUGAAUUGGACAGUUUAGGUACACUAGGUGGCUGCGGCAAUGGGACUUCUUUCCUUAUCGUGGCUUUAUCCAUCUUUUCCUCUUCAAUCAGCAACUUUUCAUCCUCAUUUUGACUUGGUUUGGAUGUAUUUGGCUUGAUUCCCACCUCUUUUCCGCUUCUCAACGUUAUGGCUUUUACGAAUUCAAAGCAUUCAUUCGGAUUCAUAAUGGUUGAUCUAGGGAGUUUUCCUUCUUCACGAAACUGCCCCAUAAACUCAGAAAUCUGCCCUAUUUGUUUCUUCACUUCACUCAUCUCCUUAGCUUGAUUUUGUUGGCCCUGCAUAAGUGAACUUAGUAAUUGAAAAAGUGUAUCAUUAUCUAAUUUCAAACCUGAAUUUUGUUGGGCAGUUUGUGGUGGGAUUUGCGGUGGUGCAUAUGGCCUUUGAAACACUUCAGCUGGUGUUUGCCGAAAUCCCCCUUGUUGGGCAGGUUAUUGUGGCUCUCUUCAUUUCAAAUUUGGAUGAUCUCUCCACCCCGGAUUGUAAGUGUUAGAGUAUGGAUCGUUUUGUGACUGAUUUUGGCUCCCAAAACCCACGGCAUUGGCAGAUUCCCACCCUCCAUUCUCAAUCAAUUGAGGGCAUUGGUCAUUAAGAUGUCCUUGCAUAAAACACACGCCACAAACACUUGGUCCUUAUAUCUUCAUCCCUUCAGCCAUCUGAGAUAUAAAAGAAGUGAGGUUAGUUAAUUGUGAUUGAAUGUCGGACAUAGAACUUACCUCAUUGACUUGCUGCCGUAGAGGGUCUCUUUGUCCAAGUCCUUCGUAUUGUUAUGCAUUUAACCCUCGGUUAGCAAUGAGGGUCUUUGCAGCCAUUGGUGUUUUGUCAACCAAUGCACCUCCCGCUGAAGCAUCUAGCAUUUGUCGCUCAAUUGGAAAAAGUCCUUCGUAAAAGUAUUGAAGUAGAAGUUCUUUUUCAUUUGGUGCUGAGGACAUAAGGCGACAAGAGCCUUAAAACGCUCAUAGUAUGCUCGAAAUGACUCUCAUUGGCUUUGUUGAAUGCCACUAAUCUUCUUCCUUAAGAGAAUGACUCUUGAAGUGGGGAAGAACUUCUCUAAAAACGCCCUCUUCAUGCUUUCCCAAAAAGUGACCAUUCCGGGUGCUAAUUCAUAAAGCCAAUCUUUAGCCUUUUCCACAAGAGAGAAUGGAAAGGCCUUCAUCAUCAAAAUGUUCCCAUCGACAUUGAUGGGUGUCAUGCUCGAACAAACCACUUCGAACUCCUUAAGAUGCUUAUUUGGAUCUUCCAUGGAUAGCCCAUGGUAUUUGGGAAUGUGAUGCAACAAGCUUGACUUCAAUUCGAACUCGUUGGUUUUACCUUGAGCAGCUAAGGGGUAUUGAAUGCAAAGGGGUGUGGCAUUGGCCAACCCCGAGGCUGAAAGUUCUUUUAUUGUACGAUUGUCCGCUGCCAUGACUUAUUCUUCUUCUCCAAAUUCAGAUUCGGCCUCUGAACUUGAACUAGGUGGAUUAGGUUCUGGUUGCUUCCUCUUUCGUCUCAAAGUUCUUUCAAAAUUGUUGUCGAACUCCAAAGAUGUUUGCACUAAUGUGUUGAGAACUACGAGUCAUAAACUAGUACCUGAAACGAGGAAACAAACACAAUCAGCAAUUAGGUGGAAGGCACGGCACAAAUGUAUAAACACACAGAAACAUACAGACACAAAUUAAAACACUAAUUAAAACACAAAGAUACGAAAUUAAACAAGGGAUUAGCAAGUUUCCUAUUCCCCGGCAACAGCGCCAAAAUUUGAUGUGAAAAUUACUUGACACACAAAUUAAACCCUAUUGAUGACAAUUGUAGCAAAGAUGUAAGUAGGGAUCGUUCUAAACUGGGGAUUAACUAGGGCUGCUAAUCUACUCAAAUUAAACUCUAAAACACUAAACUAGACUUAAAAACACAAGAAUAGACUCUAAACUGACCUAAGACACUCAAAUAUGCAAAACUAAGUAAAAAAAACUCAAUUCUAAACAUAACAAGUGAUUUAGACGAAAAUAAAACUCAAUUUUGACUCAAAAGACUAAAGAAAAACAGAUUAUGACUCAACUAACCCAAAACACACUUAAAAGACUCAAAACAGCAUAAUACUAACAAUUAGACUCAAAACAGACUCUAGGGAAUAAAUUGGACGAAUUUUAAGACUAAAUUUGGACUCAAACAACGUUUAUGGACUAACUCUAACCUAUAUUGACUCAAAACACUCUAAAGAACCUAAUUAGGACAGAUUCUGACCUAAAAACACAAAAUAGAAAAAAGGGUUUGGUUUUUGACAAAAUUGAAUUAAAACUAAACAAAUUGCAAAACAAAGUAAACUAUAACGAAAUUGAGAUGAAUUCAAGGGUGAAAGGCUAGUUAGAGGAUCAUUCUCCACACAUGAACAUAUGCAACAUAAAUCGAUUUCCAGUAUUGUUUCUUUAAACCGUGAAUCACAAUGCCCCAAAUUAAUCAUGAAUGCACAAAUUAACUCUCAGAUUUCCCUAGAUUCAUUGAAUUGGAUGAAUGCAUGCGACAACCCAAAUUAUUCUUCUCAAGUUCCCUAUACGAACAGCAUGAUAGAGAUACAUUCAAAUAUCAUUAAGUUCCAUAGAAAUCAUAAGCAUUGACAAGGAAAUUAUAACUAUGAACUGCAUGAUACUCUUGCCAAGAAUCUACUUAACACGAUUGUGACUAACAAUCUCCACUACUUGUAAUUAUGAGUUCCUAACAAUUAGGUGAAAGUCCCUUAUAAUUUAGCAUCAGAUUCAUGCAUGCAAACUAAGUAGGCCUCCUUAAUCAACACACAAGAAUAAGUUAUCAAUCAAAUAGAUAAGUAAAUCGCAUUCAUGUUUAUGAAACAAUAACUGAAAGGAAUCAAUUCAUAUUCAAGAUAUGUCUAUGGCUUCGAAUUCACCACUAACUAAUAAGAAUUUAGUUACACAUGUUCAUAGCAAUUGAAAAGCAAAUUGAAAUAAACAUUGAAACUGAAACAAGGGAAGAAAGAACUCUUAGAACUCCCAAGGAUGCAGAUGGCUUGUGCAUAAGGUCCUCCUUCAUUAAUGAAAUGCACGGCAAUGAUCUCCUUCUUCUACAAAAGGUGCGGCAGAGAUAUAUGUUGAUGUAGGAUGAUGUAGAAUGGCGUAGAAUGAUGUAUAUGGUGCGGCAAAGUGUAUUUCUGAAUGUAUGAAGGGUAGUGACGAAUUUGUGCUGAAAACAUGUAUAUAUAGGCUUGGCAAAACCCUAGGGUGAAUCAGAUUUGGGUUAGAAAUUAGCAGACUAAGAGAAUUAGGGCCCUAGGGUUCGGAACAAUUAAUGAAAUCCACUAAGGAAAGGGUUUGGCCCAAUUAAUUUUAGAAAAGGAUUUGUAUAACCCAAAUCCACAAGGAGUAAGGCUAAUAUAAUCAGAAUCCAAGGGGAAUUAGGUGAAGAAUGGUGCGGCACAGAUUGGAGGGAGUGGGAAUUGCUUGCAAGGCAAGGCAAAAUCCUUCUAGAAAGGAAAUAGCCGCCACUUUUGUAGGGAUUCUAGAAACAAUGUGUUUUGUGGCUGAUUUGGGACUUCUAAAAGGGAAUGCUUCUAGAAAUAGGUUCUAGAAAUAUAUAUUUAGGUCCCUUUGCGGCAAGGAUUAAGGCAUGAUAAGAUUAGGAUAGGAUAAGGUAAGAUAAGGUUAGUUUGGAUAAGAUAAGGUUGGAUAAGGUUGUGGAUAAUGUUUCCUCUUUUGAGCUGAUUCCUUAUCUUCUUUGUCUUGAAUUUAAUUUCUUCAUCUCCUUAUCAGAUUCCUAGCCUUUUGAACUCCAAAUUCGUCCAUCCAUCUUGGCCCAUACAUGUGUUAUCCAUUUAGUGCCCAAAACUGCUCCAAAAUGCUCCAAAAUGCACUUUCUUGCCAACUUUGUCAUUUGGACCUACAAACACACAAAAAUAGCUUAAAACACUAUAAUAACCACAAACUAACUUUAAAAGUUCAAGAAAACAAGCUAACUAAGUCGCAUAAAUGUGCUCUUAUCAAUUAUUUAUAGUAAUAAAAGAGAAAAGAAAUCAUUAUCCUCCAAAGAAUACAAGUCCUAAUAGGGAAGAAUAACUAGAAUCAAAUCUAAUCUAGGAUUUACACGAUCACACUUAGGUAAGAAGUUUAUAACACUCCCCCUUAAGUGUGUAAAUACUCAAGUAGAUUUGGCAUCAUGUAGUGGUUGAGGAAGUCGACUCGUCGGCACUGAUUCUAGGAAUACGCUAUUCUCAAAUAAGGUAGGAACUUACCUAAGAAAGUCAACUCGUCAACAUUCAUUUUGGGAACACGCUAUUCUCAAAUAAGGUAGGAACUUACAUAAGGAAGUAAGUCUCACAAAAAACCUUAAAGCUGUGGCAAAAACCUAAGUAGGGACAAAAUCCAUAGUCUAAGGAAAAAUGCGUGAGAAAUGCAAAGUCAAAUGAAACGUCUACGGGACAUCAUCAGGGAUAUGAUCAAUCCAAGGUGGGUGCAAAACUCAUUAGGUAGCAAAAACCCAGUAGGAAAAAUGCUCUUCAUCGUACAAAAAAAGAGUACAUUAAGAUCAAGCAAGUAUACUUCAGGAUACUUCCCCUGAGUUUGACACAAUUCCACAGAGAAUUAGCAAUGUUAUAACUCAGAAAGUUUACGCAUACCAAUUCCUUGAACAAGCUUCUGAAACAUUGCCUUCUGUAGUGAUUUGGUCAAGAGGUCUGCCAGGUUGACUUGUGAAUGCAUUUGCAUGACUUCAAUCUUCUGAUGCUCUUAUUGUUAAUGUGAGAAGAAGAACUUCGGCACAAUAUGCUUGGUGUUAUCUCCUUUGAUGUAACCCUUCUUGAGAUGUUUAAUAUAUGUUACGUUGUCCUCAUAGAUAGUCAUUGGGACAUCAAUGAUGGAGUAAAGAUCGCAAAAGUUUUCAAUAUCACCCACAACAGCUCUCAACCAAAAGCAUUCCUGAGUUGUUUCGUGUAAGGUGAGAAUUUCAACAUGGUUGACGAAGUGGUAACUAAGGUUUGUUUAGUUGACCUCCAAGAGAUUACGGUGCCUCCAAUGGUAAAAACAUAACCUAUUUGAGAACGUGCCUUGUGCGGAUCAGAUAAGUAUCCUGAUUCGGCAUAACCAACAAGGCGAGAAUCAACUUGAGAUAAGAGGUGCGGCAUCACUCGAGGAUUUGUAAGGAUAGAAUAAGCCCAAAUCCAUAGUACCCUCAAGGUAGUGGAAAAUGUCUUUAACACAUGUCUAGUGUCUACGUGUUGAUACAUUAUUGUAUCUUGCUAAAAGAUUAAUAGUGAAGGAGAUGUCGGUCUAUUGCAUUGAGCUAAGUACAAUAAAGCACCUAUCAUACUUAGAUAAGGAACUUCAGGCUCUAAAAUCUCUUCAUCAUCCUCAUUCGGCAGGAAGGGAUUUCGUUUUGCAUCUAGCAAUCGAACAGCCAUAUGAGUACUUAAAGGCUUUGCUUUAUCCUCGUUAAAGCAGGGCAACACCUUCUGGCUGUAGUUCGAUUGAUGUACUAAGAUUCCAUCCAAAUUGUGCUCUAUCUCGAGACAGAAAUAGCAUCAAGUCUUUCCUAGAUCUUUCAUCUCAAAUUCCGACUUUAGGAGUGCAUCAAUUCUAGUGAACUCUUCUGAAGUUCCGAUAAAGUUCAUAUCAUCGACAUAAACUGCAACUAUCGCAAAACUGGAAUGUGACUUCUUAAUGAACACACAAGGGCAUAGUUUGUUGUUUACAUAUCCCUGACUAGUCAAAUACUCACUUAGACGGUUAUACCACAUUCUUUCAAAUUGCUUCAAACCGUAAAGUGAACACCUCAGCCGAAUUGAGAGCGUGUUUCAGGGUUAUGGUAAUAUUUGAUCCAGUCAAUGU
RNAcentral lists this long non-coding RNA (23074 nucleotides) under Malus domestica (apple). RNAcentral describes it as "long non-coding RNA (MDOM_LNC015439)". Lineage: Eukaryota; Viridiplantae; Streptophyta; Magnoliopsida; Rosales; Rosaceae. The record is from RNAcentral.